UACGGGGGGGGCAAGCGUUGUUCGGAAUUACUGGGCGUAAAGGGCGCGUAGGCGGAUAUUUAAGUCGGGGGUGAAAGCCCAGGGCUCAACCCUGGAAUUGCCUUCGAUACUGGAUAUCUUGAGUUCGGGAGAGGUGAGUGGAAUGCCGAGUGUAGAGGUGAAAUUCGUAGAUAUUCGGCGGAACACCAGUGGCGAAGGCGACUCACUGGCCCGAUACUGACGCUGAGGCGCGAAAGCGUGGGGAGCAAACAGG
RNAcentral lists this ribosomal RNA (253 nucleotides) under uncultured bacterium. RNAcentral's name for it is "partial 16S ribosomal RNA". It matches the Rfam family "Bacterial small subunit ribosomal RNA", at positions 524 to 776 of the family's 1533-position model. The record is from RNAcentral.